Molecule: ribosomal RNA, 305 nt
Filed under: uncultured bacterium
Lineage: Bacteria
Description: partial 16S ribosomal RNA
Rfam family: Bacterial small subunit ribosomal RNA
Source: RNAcentral
ACAGCAGUAGCCGCGGUAAAACAGAGGGUGCGAGCGUUAAUCGGAUUUACUGGGCGUAAAGCGUGCGUAGGCGGCUUCUUAAGUCGGAUGUGAAAUCCCUGAGCUUAACUUAGGAAUUGCAUUCGAUACUGGGAAGCUAGAGUAUGGGAGAGGAUGGUAGAAUUCCAGGUGUAGCGGUGAAAUGCGUAGAGAUCUGGAGGAAUACCGAUGGCGAAGGCAGCCAUCUGGCCUAAUACUGACGCUGAGGUACGAAAGCAUGGGGAGCAAACAGGAUUAGAUACCCCAGUAGUCCCUGUCUCUUAUAA